Molecule: ribosomal RNA, 465 nt
Filed under: uncultured bacterium
Lineage: Bacteria
Description: partial 16S ribosomal RNA
Rfam family: Bacterial small subunit ribosomal RNA
Source: RNAcentral
GACGAACGCUGGCGGCGUGCUUAAUACAUGCAAGUCGAACGGAAAGGCCCCUUUGUUGGUCCUCUAGUGGUGAACGGGUGAGUAAGACGUGAGUAUCCUUCCCUUGACUCCGGGAUAACUUUAGCUAACUGGGGCUAAUACCGGUUACGGAUCCUUUCUGCAAGGGGGUGGUUGGAAAGCUCCGGCGGUUUUUGAUGUACUCUCGGCGUAUCAGCUUGUUGGUGUAGCAGUGGCUUACCGAGGCUUCGACGGGUAGCCCGCCUGAGAGGGCGACCCGCCACAUAGAGACUGAGAUACGGCCCCGACUCCUACGGGAGCCAGAAGGGCGGAAUAUUGAAGAAUGAACGGAACGCUAAUGAUGAAACGCCUCGGACGGGAUAACUGCCUUAGGAUUGUAGACCGAUUUCGGCAGGGGCGAUGCUCGUCGUGACGGUACCUGAACAGAAAGCCACGGCUAACUACGUG